GGGGUUAUAGCUCAGUGGUAGAGCACAUGCUUAUUAUGUAUGAGGCUUCAUGUUCAAUCCCC
This 62-nucleotide transfer RNA is filed under the name Fukomys damarensis (Damara mole-rat). It matches the Rfam family "tRNA", at positions 1 to 61 of the family's 71-position model. From Rfam's summary of the family: Transfer RNA (tRNA) molecules are approximately 80 nucleotides in length. Their secondary structure includes four short double-helical elements and three loops (D, anti-codon, and T loops). Further hydrogen bonds mediate the characteristic L-shaped molecular structure. tRNAs have two regions of fundamental functional importance: the anti-codon, which is responsible for specific mRNA codon recognition, and the 3' end, to which the tRNAs corresponding amino acid is attached (by aminoacyl-tRNA synthetases). tRNAs cope with the degeneracy of the genetic code in two manners: having more than one tRNA (with a specific anti-codon) for a particular amino acid; and 'wobble' base-pairing, i.e. permitting non-standard base-pairing at the 3rd anti-codon position. Lineage: Eukaryota; Metazoa; Chordata; Mammalia; Rodentia; Bathyergidae. The record is from Rfam by way of RNAcentral.